UACGUAGGGUGCGAGCGUUAAUCGGAAUUACUGGGCGUAAAGCGUGCGCAGGCGGUUCGCCAAGUCAGGUGUGAAAUCCCCGGGCUUAACCUGGGAAUUGCGCUUGAAACUAGCGGGCUUGAGUGUGGCAGAGGGGGGUGGAAUUCCACGUGUAGCAGUGAAAUGCGUAGAGAUGUGGAGGAACACCGAUGGCGAAGGCAGCCCCCUGGGUCACCACUGACGCUCAUGCACGAAAGCGUGGGGAGCAAACAGG
This 253-nucleotide ribosomal RNA is filed under the name uncultured bacterium. RNAcentral describes it as "partial 16S ribosomal RNA". It matches the Rfam family "Bacterial small subunit ribosomal RNA", at positions 524 to 776 of the family's 1533-position model. The record is from RNAcentral.